This 433-nucleotide ribosomal RNA is filed under the name uncultured bacterium. RNAcentral's name for it is "partial 16S ribosomal RNA". It matches the Rfam family "Bacterial small subunit ribosomal RNA", at positions 29 to 507 of the family's 1533-position model. The record is from RNAcentral.
AACGAACGCUGGCGGCAUGCCUAACACAUGCAAGUCGAACGAGACCUUCGGGUCUAGUGGCGCACGGGUGCGUAACGCGUGGGAACCUGCCCUUAGGUUCGGAAUAACUCCCCGGAAGGGGUGCUAAUACCGGAUAAUGUCUUCGGACCAAAGAUUUAUCGCCUUUGGAUGGGCCCGCGUUGGAUUAGCUAGUUGGUAGGGUAAAAGCCUACCAAGGCGACGAUCCAUAGCUGGUCUGAGAGGAUGAUCAGCCACACUGGGACUGAGACACGGCCCAGACUCCUACGGGAGGCAGCAGUGGGGAAUAUUGGACAAUGGGCGGAAGGCUGAUCCAGCAAUGCCGCGUGAGUGAUGAAGGCCGUAGGGUUGUAAAGCUCUUUUACCCGGGAUGAUAAUGACAGUACCGGGAGAAUAAGCUCCGGCUAACUCCGUG